This is a long non-coding RNA of Dreissena polymorpha, 1229 nucleotides long. RefSeq lists it as uncharacterized. The transcript is spliced from 4 exons. The record is from RefSeq and is a predicted model, not a curated record. NCBI's taxonomy places the organism in Eukaryota, Metazoa, Mollusca, Bivalvia, Myida, Dreissenidae.
UGCAUGCACCGUUGAGGAAGAAAAACCAAAUGGCUGAGACAUCGAAUGGUUCCUUUGAUACCGAUGCAAACGAUGUUGACCCUCAAUAUUCCGUAGUUGACAAGAAGAAAAUCAUAGGUAUGGAGACAAAUGACUGGAAUCGAACUGUGCCACAAGCACCAGCAUGUUUCGACUCGUUCGUUCCACUAUACAGCAAAGUAAACAAGAAAACCAAGAAAGUGGAUCAGUGAAGAAAACUACCCACGAUGAUCACCUUUACAAACAGCGGUGUAAGAAGAAUCACAGUUAGUUUACAUGCACUGAAAUGCCAUUCUUUGUUUAAUUCAUAAUGUUUUAUAUAUUAAUGAACUUGGUUUCUAAAACACAUGUUGUGCAAACAAAAGUUAUAACUGUGUUGAGUUGUGUGUACUCUUUUGAUUGAAACAUGAUUGUGAAAUAUUCAAAUACGCGCUGAUACGAUCACAAUUUAAACGAUUGUUUUUUUUUCAUGAUAACCAUCUGCAUUGUUUUCAAAAAUGACUUACUCUAUGUAAAUUGAUAUGUCAUGUAAGUAGCUCCGUGAACAAUACUUCCCCCAAUGAUAACCCUUACUAACAGAGGUGUAAGAAGAUUAACAGCUAGUUUGCACGCACUGAAAUGACAUUCUUUGUUUAAUUCAUAGUGUUAUAUAUUUCUGAGCUUUGUUUUUAAUCCAAAUACCAAAAGUUGUAUGUAAAACCUUCACAUAUUACGUUAAAAUUUUAAUUUCCUCGAUUGAUACGUGUGUUUUAUCAGUAGCUGCCACGAUACUUAACAUUCAGAUUUUAAGAAGACACCUUUUGUGCAAACGGAAAUUAUAACUGUGUUGAGUUAUGUGUACUCUUUCUAGUGUAAAUUGCUUGUGAAUGCAUUUAGAGUACAUGCUUCACACAGAUUUAUGGGUUCACACAUAUUGUUCUAAAGUUUGAACAUAUGUAAUAUAUAUAUUGAAAAGUUAAUUUGUUUUCACUUGUAUAACUAUCAAUGAUUGACUAUUGCUGUUAUUAUUGUUUUCAUCCGGGAUUAUUUAAGAACAUACAUAGUUGCAAGUACAAAAGUAAUUAUAUAAGACACGUGUGUUAUUUGACAAAAGUUAUAAUGUAAAUAUAUUAAAUGUGUUUGUGCAUCUUCCGUCAAAAUGCCAUUUGAAGGCGAACACUAUCAUACAAAACUUGGUUCUGGUCACUAGUGUUUGUUGGUGUUUGCGUUUA